AUUGAACGCUGGCGGCAUGCCUUACACAUGCAAGUCGAACGGUAACAGGUCUUCGGAUGCUGACGAGUGGCGAACGGGUGAGUAAUACAUCGGAACGUGCCUAGUAGUGGGGGAUAACUACUCGAAAGAGUGGCUAAUACCGCAUGAGAUCUACGGAUGAAAGCAGGGGAUCGCAAGACCUUGUGCUACUAGAGCGGCCGAUGGCUGAUUAGGUAGUUGGUGGGAUAAAAGCUUACCAAGCCGACGAUCUGUAGCUGGUCUGAGAGGACGAUCAGCCACACUGGGACUGAGACACGGGCCAGACUCCUACGGGAGGCAGCAGUGGGGAAUUGUGGACAAUGGGCAAAAGCCUGAUCCCGCAAUGACUCGUGCAGGAUGAAGGCCUUCGGGUUGUAAACUGCUUUUGUACGGAACGAAAAGCCCCGGGUUAAUACCCUGGGGUCAUGACGGUACCGUAAGAAUAAGCACCGGCUAACUACGUGCCAGCCGCCGCAGUAA
RNAcentral lists this ribosomal RNA (498 nucleotides) under uncultured bacterium. RNAcentral's name for it is "partial 16S ribosomal RNA". It matches the Rfam family "Bacterial small subunit ribosomal RNA", at positions 30 to 523 of the family's 1533-position model. The record is from RNAcentral.